This 940-nucleotide ribosomal RNA is filed under the name bacterium. RNAcentral describes it as "bacterial SSU rRNA". It matches the Rfam family "Bacterial small subunit ribosomal RNA", at positions 83 to 1027 of the family's 1533-position model. The record is from RNAcentral.
CUCCUGUGAUUAGUGGCGAACGGGUGAGUAACACGUGAGUAACCUGCCCCUGACUCUGGGAUAAGCGUUGGAAACGACGUCUAAUACUGGAUAUGAUCACUGGUCGCAUGGCCUGGUGGUGGAAAGAUUUUUUGGUUGGGGAUGGACUCGCGGCCUAUCAGCUUGUUGGUGAGGUAAUGGCUCACCAAGGCGACGACGGGUAGCCGGCCUGAGAGGGUGACCGGCCACACUGGGACUGAGACACGGCCCAGACUCCUACGGGAGGCAGCAGUGGGGAAUAUUGCACAAUGGGCGAAAGCCUGAUGCAGCAACGCCGCGUGAGGGAUGACGGCCUUCGGGUUGUAAACCUCUUUUAGUAGGGAAGAAGGGAGCUUCGGUUCUUGACGGUACCUGCAGAAAAAGCACCGGCUAACUACGUGCCAGCAGCCGCGGUAAUACGUAGGGUGCAAGCGUUGUCCGGAAUUAUUGGGCGUAAAGAGCUCGUAGGCGGUUUGUCGCGUCUGCUGUGAAAUCCCGAGGCUCAACCUCGGGCUUGCAGUGGGUACGGGCAGACUAGAGUGCGGUAGGGGAGAUUGGAAUUCCUGGUGUAGCGGUGGAAUGCGCAGAUAUCAGGAGGAACACCGAUGGCGAAGGCAGAUCUCUGGGCCGUAACUGACGCUGAGGAGCGAAAGCAUGGGGAGCGAACAGGAUUAGAUACCCUGGUAGUCCAUGCCGUAAACGUUGGGCGCUAGAUGUAGGGACCUUUCCACGGUUUCUGUGUCGUAGCUAACGCAUUAAGCGCCCCGCCUGGGGAGUACGGCCGCAAGGCUAAAACUCAAAGGAAUUGACGGGGGCCCGCACAAGCGGCGGAGCAUGCGGAUUAAUUCGAUGCAACGCGAAGAACCUUACCAAGGCUUGACAUACACCGGAAACGGCCAGAGAUGGUCGCCCCCUUGUGGUC